ACACAUGCAAGUCGAACGGUAGAGGGGGCAACCCUUGAGAGUGGCGAACGGGUGAGUAAUAUAUCGGAACGUGCCCAGUCGUGGGGGAUAACGUAGCGAAAGCUACGCUAAUACCGCAUACGAUCUACGGAUGAAAGCGGGGGAUCGCAAGACCUCGCGCGAUUGGAGCGGCCGAUAUCAGAUUAGGUAGUUGGUGAGGUAAAGGCUCACCAAGCCGACGAUCUGUAGCUGGUCUGAGAGGACGACCAGCCACACUGGGACUGAGACACGGCCCAGACUCCUACGGGAGGCAGCAGUGGGGAAUUUUGGACAAUGGGCGCAAGCCUGAUCCAGCAAUGACGCGUGCAGGAUGAAGGCCUUCGGGUUGUAAACUGCUUUUGUACGGAACGAAACGGUGAGCUCUAAUACAGUUUGCUAAUGACGGUACCGUAAGAAUAAGCACCGGCUAACUACGUG
Molecule: ribosomal RNA, 456 nt
Filed under: uncultured bacterium
Lineage: Bacteria
Description: bacterial SSU rRNA
Rfam family: Bacterial small subunit ribosomal RNA
Source: RNAcentral